Molecule: ribosomal RNA, 253 nt
Filed under: uncultured bacterium
Lineage: Bacteria
Description: partial 16S ribosomal RNA
Rfam family: Bacterial small subunit ribosomal RNA
Source: RNAcentral
UACAGAGGGUGCGAGCGUUAAUCGGAAUUACUGGGCGUAAAGCGCGCGUAGGCGGCUUUUCAAGUCGAUUGUGAAAUCCCCGGGCUUAACCUGGGAACUGCAGUCGAGACUGUCUAGCUAGAGUAUGGGAGAGGGAAGUGGAAUUUCAGGUGUAGCGGUGAAAUGCGUAGAUAUCGGAAGGAACAUCAGUGGCGAAAGCGACUUCCUGGACCAAUACUGACGCUCAUGUGCGAAAGCGUGGGGAGCAAACAGG